GUAACGCGUGAGGAACCUGCCUCGAAGAGGGGGACAACAGUUGGAAACGACUGCUAAUACCGCAUAAGCCCACGGCUCGGCAUCGAGCAGAGGGAAAAGGAGUGAUCCGCUUUGAGAUGGCCUCGCGUCCGAUUAGCUAGUUGGUGAGGUAACGGCCCACCAAGGCGACGAUCGGUAGCCGGACUGAGAGGUUGAACGGCCACAUUGGGACUGAGACACGGCCCAG
This 226-nucleotide ribosomal RNA is filed under the name uncultured bacterium. RNAcentral's name for it is "partial 16S ribosomal RNA". It matches the Rfam family "Bacterial small subunit ribosomal RNA", at positions 110 to 334 of the family's 1533-position model. The record is from RNAcentral.